UGGGGAAUAUUGCACAAUGGAGGGAACUCUGAUGCAGCGACGCCGCGUGAACGAAGAAGGCUUUCGAGUCGUAAAGUUCUUUUAUAUGGGAAGAUAAUGACGGUACCAUAAGAAAAAGCCCCGGCUAACUACGUGCCAGCAGCCGCGGUAAUACGUAGGGGGCUAGCGUUGUCCGGAAUCACUGGGCGUAAAGGGUUCGCAGGCGGAAAUGCAAGUCAGGUGUAAAAGGCAGUAGCUUAACUACUGUAAGCAUUUGAAACUGCAUAUCGUGAGAAGAGUAGAGGUAAGUGGAAUUUUUAGUGUAGCAGUGAAAUGCGUAGAUAUUAAAAAGAAUACCGGUGGCGAAGGCGACUUACUGGGCUCAUUCUGACGCUGAGGAACGAAAGCGUGGGUAGCAAACAGG
Molecule: ribosomal RNA, 403 nt
Filed under: bacterium
Lineage: Bacteria
Description: partial 16S ribosomal RNA
Rfam family: Bacterial small subunit ribosomal RNA
Source: RNAcentral